AGUGAACGCUGGCGGUAGGCCUAACACAUGCAAGUCGAACGGCAGCACAGUAAGAGCUUGCUCUUACGGGUGGCGAGUGGCGGACGGGUGAGGAAUACAUCGGAAUCUACUUUUUCGUGGGGGAUAACGUAGGGAAACUUACGCUAAUACCGCAUACGACCUACCGGUGAAAGCAUGGGAUCUUCGGACCUGGCGCGGGUGAAUGCGCCGGUGUCUGAUUAGCUAGUUGGCGGGGUAGUGGCCCACCAAGGCGACGAUCGGUAGCAGGUCUGAGAGGGUGACCGGCAACAUUGGGACUGAGAGACGGCCCAGACGCCGACGGGAGGCAGCAGUGGGGAAUAUUGCACAAUGGGCGGAAGCCGGAUGCAGCAACGCCGCGUGCGGGAUGACGGCUUUCGGGUUGUAAACCGCUUGCGCCUGGGACGAAGCGUGAGUGACGGUAAUGGGGAAAGAAGCACCGGCUAACUACGUG
Molecule: ribosomal RNA, 472 nt
Filed under: uncultured bacterium
Lineage: Bacteria
Description: partial 16S ribosomal RNA
Rfam family: Bacterial small subunit ribosomal RNA
Source: RNAcentral